RNAcentral lists this ribosomal RNA (486 nucleotides) under uncultured bacterium. RNAcentral describes it as "bacterial SSU rRNA". It matches the Rfam family "Bacterial small subunit ribosomal RNA", at positions 30 to 507 of the family's 1533-position model. The record is from RNAcentral.
AUUGAACGCUGGCGGAAUGCUUUACACAUGCAAGUCGAACGGCAGCAUAGGUGCUUGCACCUGAUGGCGAGUGGCGAACGGGUGAGUAAUAUAUCGGAACGUGCCCAGUCGUGGGGGAUAACGUAGCGAAAGUUACGCUAAUACCGCAUACGAUCUAAGGAUGAAAGCGGGGGACCGUAAGGCCUCGCGCGAUUGGAGCGGCCGAUGUCAGAUUAGGUAGUUGGUGGGGUAAAGGCUCACCAAGCCGACGAUCUGUAGCUGGUCUGAGAGGACGACCAGCCACACUGGGACUGAGACACGGCCCAGACUCCUACGGGAGGCAGCAGUGGGGAAUUUUGGACAAUGGGCGCAAGCCUGAUCCAGCCAUUCCGCGUGCAGGACGAAGGCCUUCGGGUUGUAAACUGCUUUUGUACGGAGCGAAAAGCCUUGGGUUAAUACCUCGGGGUCAUGACGGUACCGUAAGAAUAAGCACCGGCUAACUACGUG